This 460-nucleotide ribosomal RNA is filed under the name uncultured bacterium. Its description in RNAcentral is "partial 16S ribosomal RNA". It matches the Rfam family "Bacterial small subunit ribosomal RNA", at positions 338 to 795 of the family's 1533-position model. The record is from RNAcentral.
CCUACGUGAGGCAGCAGUGAGGAAUAUUGGUCAAUGGGCUUACGCCUGAACCAGCCAAGUCGCGUGAGGGAAGACUGCCCUAUGGGUUGUAAACCUCUUUUGUCAGGGAGCAAUUGGCGCUACGUGUAGCGUUAUCGAGAGUACCUGAAGAAAAAGCAUCGGCUAACUCCGUGCCAGCAGCCGCGGUAAUACGGAGGAUGCGAGCGUUAUCCGGAUUUAUUGGGUUUAAAGGGUGCGUAGGCGGAAUGCCAAGUCAGCGGUAAAAUCGCGGGGCUCAACCUCGCUCCGCCGUUGAAACUGGCGUUCUUGAGUGGGCGAGAAGUAUGCGGAAUGCGUGGUGUAGCGGUGAAAUGCUUAGAUAUCAUGAAGAACUCCGAUCGCGAAGGCAAGUGUCCGGGGUGCAACUGACGCUGAGGCUCGAAAGUGCGGGUAUCAAACAGGAUUAGAUACCCGGGUAGUC